CCAAGGGCUUCACGUGUAAUCUCAUUUAAUUCUCACAAGAGAUGCAGAGAGGUGACGUGACUCAUCAGGUGACAUGACUCACCAGGUCACCUAGCUGGUAAGGGAUGGAACUGGGUUGUGCAUAGAGGCCUAUCUGUGUCCACAGGCAGGCUCCCAGCCACCACCCUCCAGUUCCGUGGCCCUGCUCUGGGACGUGGGAAGAUAAGAAAGAAGAAGGGUGAGUCGGUAUGGUCGUGGAGAGAUUACAUUUUCAGGAAAUGAGGGCUCAGAACAAGGCCUGGCCUAAACAUGGCUGCAGGAGUGGCAAGAGAUAGGAUCAGAGGGAGGAUGGCCUCAGAGAGUGUGGGGAAGAACUUGUGCCCAGAAGAGUCAGGGCAGGACUGGCUGGGCCCUGACGUAAGGCCUCUUGCUCAGAGUCACAGGCAAGAUCAAGUGACCUCUCGAGGUUUCAAGACACGAAGAGACAAAGCCCAGAGCAGCUGCGGCCUGGUCCAGGCCCGGGCAUGCCUGCUGACCCCGGCUGGAUGGUGGCCUUGGAAACUGCUUCCUGCUUCAGUCAGGCCCUAGCCGCGUAACCUUGGAGGACCUGUGACAUUUCUCUUGGCCUCAGGCUCCAGGACUCAGCUGCUCCUCGUUGUCCCACCUACUGGUCCCACCUACUUUGCUCUCUCCCAGGCCUGGCUGUGGACCUGGCCCCUCCCAGGUCAGGAUCUCUCUAGUCCAAGAACUUGGAGCACUGUUGCCCUCACAGGGAGGACAGUGGGUGACACCCUCACAAACGAGAAAAGGGGCUCAGACUCUGGAACCUCCAAGUCCAAUUUCCAACAGUGUGGUUGGGCCGUGGCUCCUGGCACCCACUUGGAGAUGCCCACCAGAAGCCCCCUCCCUCCCUCCCUUACUGAGGGUCAGGCUAGCCGAGCCUUCCCCGCCCUGGAGACCUCCCAGCUGGGGCCUGAGGGUGUGAUCUUGGCAGAAGAGAAAAACCUCCUCUCCGGUGGUGGCUUCUGUUCAACCCACCCGUGAAGACCUCUGGGCACGUCCUCCUGCCAGGCCUCCUGAGGCUGGCCACUGCUCUCUUUUGCAGCCUCCAGGAUCUGAGGGAAACAGCUGGCUCCCCUCCUCACCACACCCCGGCGGCCAUUCUCUUGGACCCCUCCCAAGGGUACCACCUAGCCCUGGUCUGUGGACAAAGUCAAAGGGGGGCCUUAUCUCUCAGGAUCUGUCCCUCAGGGACUAGUCAUCACCUCUGUCCACCUCCUUCCCUUCAGCCGCCUACCUGCCCACACAGUAACACCUGAAUAUCUUCUUUCAACCUGAUCCCAGGCACAAUAUCAUAAUACAAAUAACAAUGAUGGCAAUAAUAAUGGCAGCUGUCACUCAUUUGGCAUCAUUUAAAUAGAGGCACAGAGAGGUUAAGUUAUGCCCUUAAGAACAAACAGCCAUCUCAUUCAAUUAAGCUGGUGUCUGAAUUUAGGUUGGGCUUCUGUAAAUCAAACUUCUUUGGUGUCCAGAGAUUCAGCGCCCUCCCCUGCAGCCUCCUACAACGGUCCUAGUCCCAACCAUCAGUUCUAAUUUUUGACUUCUAAUCUAUCCUCCUCUCAGCUUCUAGUCACCACCUCCCACCAACAGCCAUCCAACUAGAUGCACUACUCUCCCUCGCCACUAGGUGUCCCCUUGGAGCCACUGAUGCCCCCAAGGGGAGCUGGCCCUGCCCCGCCCCCUGGGGCCAUCAGGGCCCCCCCACAGCACAGCACAGCAGUGCACACCCCACCCCACCCUACCCCCAGCCACACAGAGCUCCUUUGUGCAACCCUCGCCCACCCCCUUCCUCCCUGGAACAGGGCACCUGGCAAGCAGGUCUGCCCCAGAACCGCCCCCUGCCAGCCCCCUGCCCUGGGUGCCAGGUGUGUGGGCGCCACCGCCAGCUCUGGCUGGACCCGAGGGUCACCCUGCCGGCGGCCCUCCCUUCCUCCCUCCGAGGUCACCCAGGGACUAAGCUUCCCGCCCUGCUCCGCCCCCCUCCCCUCCUGCCCUUGGCCCUUCCAGACUCCCGUCCUUGUCUUUCCUUCUGUCUCCCGGAGGACUCCCCUCCUCCAGCCCCACUAGGCCUUCCCUGCAGCCUCUCACCCCCGCCCACCUCCUUCCCCAGAGAGCUCCUUGUUCCACGCCCCCCCGCUCCCCGCCCAGGUCUGAAGAACUCCUCCUCCUGGAAAGUUGCUGCUGGAAAGGAAGUGACUUCAGCAAUUUGGCCACAAGGCUGGGCACUGCUGAGCCCAGCUCAGCUCAAGGCUUGCCCAACCCACCUCCAAAGCACAAAUGGAGCCACAUGUGCACAUCACUCCCACUGUGCACCCAGAACCCUGAGCACACACUUAGCCAGUGUACACACAGAUCCCCGUGUGCAUACACCGUACCAUCGCAGUGUAUUCAGAUCUUGUCUAUACACACAUCUCUCCAGUGUACACUAGCACCCUUGCACACAUGACAUCCAGUGUGGCACACACAGUAUCCCCACACCUGCCCAGUACACACCCAGAAUCCUGCAUAUUCAUACUUCCGGGUACCACAUACACAGCCCUUGAACGCUCCCCAGCCCAGUCCACUUACACAACUCUUGUAUAUUACCCCAUGUGCACGGAAGGACAGAGCCUUCCACACACACCUGCUUGCACACAAGCUUGAGUGCCCUGUACAUUUACAUUCGGAUACACACAGCCUCGCAUCCUCCCACAGCUGUACCUCCCCACCCUUACAAUCCCAGGAGACUCCACCCCCAGACCUCAGGCCCCAGGAAUGCUCCUUUGGAAGUAGGGUGGGGUCCCCAGGCAGGCUCAGCUCUAGGGAGCUUCCUGGAGCCGCAGGCUUCAUGUGUCAGUUCAGGGAGUUGCCUCUGCAGGGCAGGGCAGCUUCACCUGGCUCUGCAGCUCCUGAGCCUGGGUGGGCUAACCUGGGCCAGGAGUAGGGAGGUGGGUCCUGCCACUGCCCCCGCCCCCUCCCUGUCCUGCAAGGGCACCUUAGCAUACCUGGGCUACCCAGGCCCUCCCAGCACC
This 3050-nucleotide long non-coding RNA is filed under the name Homo sapiens (human). RNAcentral describes it as "HSALNT0003771". The record is from RNAcentral. Lineage: Eukaryota; Metazoa; Chordata; Mammalia; Primates; Hominidae.